UUGCCUCUUAAACAUCAGAACAUAUCCAGCCCCCUCUCUUCUCCAGUACACAUUCCAAUUCACACACAACCUAGGGUGAGUAAUUUAAAAGUAGCAACAAAGAGUCACCAUCUUCCUGCUUUGUAUUCUUACCAACUGAUGUGAGACACCACAUAUUUCCAUGUGCUUGGGUAAGUUACCAAUUUUUUUUCCUCUGCAAUUUUGUUUAUAAAUGGGUGAAUAAUAUCACCUGGUUAAUACCUAAUUUGUUACCCUAAAUGUGUUUGUGAAAAGCGAGUUGGGAUUUUUCUUGGGUUUCAUGAGAUGUACUCCAAGUGAAGCCAUAUACUUUAUUUGUGAGUGUGUGUGCUUGAUUAAUUUUCACUCUUUCUUAAUUAUUGGCACUACCUAGGGCUGAAAUGUUUGUGACAUGUUGAAUUAGAUUUUGCAGAAUUUUCAAGGGAAAUCAAUGCUAGAUAUGUUUUAAAUAGUAUCAGAAAUUAUGUGUUCCGAAGGUGUUUGAAAAUAUUUCACAAUGAACACCUUUGAGUGUCCCAAAGAAAUAAAGUUACAGUUGACUAGAAAGCCUAUUUGCAUAUCAACAUGAUCUUUUUGUUUUGUCAUACUAAGGCCAAAACAUAAAAAUAAGAUUUUUGGAACCGAAAGAUUCUACUUUAAUAGUAAUGUUUGUGCAAAUAGUGCUUAACAUUUUAAUAUUAACUUCUGAAUAUCUUGCUGGUACUAGCUUUUAGAAGAAACCACUUAAUAUAUUUUGAUUGAAUUACGCUUUCCUUCUCUCAAUUGUAUAAAAUUUGGAAUAUAUAUAUAUAUAUAUAUUCAUGAAUUAUUAAAAAAAGCAUCAACUAAAUAAUUAAUACUGUAGAUUACUUAAGCAACAACACGAUUUAGCAGCUAUUGUUAAUGAAUAAGAUGUUUCAAAGCUUAUUUUGUUGUACAUGAAUAUGACAAUAUGCAUUUCACUUUUUUCUGUGUGGUAUCCCUGCUUCUAUUGCUUUCUUUAGUUAUCUCUAUGUGUCACUAUUAGCGACUUUGGUCUAUUGCUUUGUCCGUUUCACUUAUUAGUUAGUCCUAAAUUAAUUUUAUGCUAAAAAGUUUUGCUUUAGUUUAUGAGAUCUUUGAAUAAAUAUAUGAACUAGAUUGUUUGUGAAUCUUUAUGAUAUUAAUAGGUAUUGUUGCACCUGUUGUUCUUCAGUUGCGCUUAUCCAGAAAAUACUUUAAAGAAAAUGUUUGUUGUUUGGAGAUGCAACUCAUGCACUUGGACCAUGAACUAAAACAAGCAUCAAAUAUUUCUAGUGUAUCAUAUUGGAUGAGAAUAGUAAGUUGGCUCUUGAUUUUGCUGUGUCAUCUAUUUAAUAUUAAACAUUUAUGAAUCUUUUCUCUGUUUAGAAUUUUGAAUGCCAUAUUAUUUCUAUUCUGUAAUAGGCUUUUUCCUCAGGUUUAGCUAUUAUUUGUAUGCUAGCGACAACUUGUCCUAUGUAUUUCUAUUUGUGUGCUAGUAACAACUUGUCCUGCUAUUAAUUACAAUAUUGCGAUUGCGGUUUAUUAGACUAACCUUAGUGGCACAGUUGAAGUUAAAAAUUGAAGCUUCUUAUUUUUUCAUUCUAAUAGUUUUUGCUAUCUUAGAGGUGAAAUAAAUAUAAACGUGAAUCAGGCUGGUCCAAAUAAAGAAGUUUUCCUACAUGUUAUAGACAAGAAGAAUGUAAUGACCCGACUGGUCAUUUUGAGCAAUUGUGCCCGAUUCAACAGUUUGAGGCCUUGAACAGAUUCACAUUAUGUAUAUCGAAUAUUGUGCAUGGUUGGAUUCAGUCUCCGGAUGAAUCAGAGUCGUACUGGAAGAAGGAACCUAGUUUUGGAAGUUUAAAUAGUGAAAAUUUGACAGGAAUUGGACUUUUGAGUAAAUAGCCCCGGAACGGGUCGUGGGUGAUCUCAACAGCUUCGUAUAGUGAUUUUGGACUUAGGCGCGCAUCCGGAUUCCGAUUUGGAGGUUCGUAGGGUAAUUUGAGGUAUUUCGGCGAAAGUUUGGAAAAUGGAGAAGUUUGACCCAUAGUUGACUUUUCUGAUAUUGGGGUGGGAAUGCAAUUCCGAGAGUUAGAACAGUUAUGUUAUGUCAUGUUGGACUUAUCUGCAAAAUUUAGCGUCAUUCCAGGUUGAAUUGAUAGCUUUCGGCACGAGUUUUGGAAGUUGGAUGGUUUCAAAGUUCCUAAGUUUGAUUCGUGGUGUGAUUCAUUGUUUCGACAUUGUUUGAUGUGAUUUGUGACCUCUAGUGAGUCCGUGUUAGGUUAUAUGACUUGUUUGUAUGUUUGGAUGGGGUACCGAGGGCCUUGGGUGUGUUCUGGGUGGGCUACGGGUCAUUUCCCCUUGUUUUUGAAUUGUUGUUUUCUGAUUUUGGUAUCCACUUUCGCAAUUGCGAACCACCUUCCGUGUUUGCGAAGCUUUAUUGUUGACCACCUGGAAAUCCUUCUUCACGUUCGCAUUUAGAGCCUCGCAUUCACGAAGCUCUACUUUAUCCCUCAUCACGUUCGUGUCCCCCCCUCACGCGUUCACGUAGUCAUGUUGUUCCACUCUUCGCGUUCGCGUACUAGUUCACGCGUUCGCGAAGAGCAAUCUCUGGGCCAUAAUAUUUUCCUUCUUCACGUUCACAUGCAUGUUGUCGCCUACGCGAAGCACAACAGGGCAGCCUUAAUUUUUCUUCUACGCAAACGCAAUACUUCCUCCGCGUUCGCGAUGCUUUAAGACCUGGGUAGAAUAAAUAGUACUCUAUUCUGAGGGUUUGCCAUUUUCACCAUUUUUGGAGUUCUAGAGCUCGGUUUUGGGCGAUUAUUUGUGGGGUUUUCAAGCAAAACGAUUGGGUAAGUGUUCUUCACCUAAAAUUGAUUAUAUUCCAUGAAUUUGUCUUCAUUUUUAUCAUCUAAUUUGUGAUUUGGGUUGAGUAAAAUAUUAGUUUUUUUUGAAGAAAAUUUUUAAAAUGAAAAAUCGUGAUUUGAUGGGCCAAAUGGUAUCAGAAUUUAAUAAAUUUUGUAUGGUUGCACUCAUAUUGGAAUGUGUAUUAAGAUUUUGUAAAAUUUUUUGGGUUACGAGGCGCGGGCCGGGGGGUCGACUUUUGGACCAAAUUUUGGAUUUUGUUAAAGAUUGAGACUUUAUGAUCCGGAAUAGUUUCUUAUGUGUUUUAUUUGUGUUUUGAAGUUAAUUUGGUUAGAUUUGAGCCGUCCGGAGGUCUUUUUACUCGAGAAGUGCAUUUUAAAGUAUCGGUUUGUCGACUUUGAGGUAAGUAUCUUGCCUAACCUUGUGUGGAGGACUUCCCCUUAGUAUUUGAGUCUUCCAUGCUAAUUGUAGUCCGUGCAUGCGAGGUGACAAGUGUGUGCUCGAACUUAUUUGUGGAAAAUUUGCUCUAGGGUUCUUAGGUCCUUAUGUUCAUUAUGUAAAAGUAUUCCGUUAUGAUUGAGUUUCCUAAUUGCUUAAAUUACCUCUAUAUGCUCCAUAUGAUGUUGCUAGCUUUCCUCUAAUUCCUACGUGUUACAUUGACCCUUAUUUGCCUUACUUGAAGUAAUUGCCUUCCUUAUUGUUUUGAUACUUCUUGAUUGUGAGUUCCUCUAUGGCUUCGUGCAAAUAGGUUACAUGUCCAAUUGUUGUGGAUACCGAUGUAGUUAUCACGUGCUUAUUAUGUCUUGUUGUUUAGUUGAGGUUUCAUUGUGAAGUUAAUUAUUGGUAUGAGUUUGGUUAUAGUUGAUUCCCUUGUCGGGACAUAUUUAAUUCUUACUGUUGGUUCCCUUGCCGGGAUGUAUUUAUUCUUGGUGUUGACUCUCUUAUCGGGAUAUAGUUAUUUCCUUAUUGUUCCCUUGCUGUGAUGAUUGGUGUUGAUUUGUAUAUUAGGAUUAGGUUGCACGCCGCAACAUCAUUAUAUGAUUUGGAUCGGGUUGCACGCCGCAACAUUAUUAUAUGAUUUGGAUCGGGUUGUACACCGCAACAUCAUUAUAUUUUGAUCGGGUUGCAUGCUGCAACAAUAUUACAUGAUUUGGAUCGGGUUGCACGUCGCAAUAUCAUUAUAUGAUUUGGAUCGGGAUGCAUGCCGCAACAGUACUAUAUGAUUGGGAUCGGGUUGCAUGCCGCAAGAAGAAAGAAUAAAAGUGAAUAUUAACUCAUAUGGUGAGAACGAGAGAGUAAAAGCAAGAAUGGUGAUGCCGUGCACUUUUUACUGCUGUGUUUAUUUGUUGUUAUCAAUUCAAGUGUUUAAACUGUUUAAAUUUCUUUAUUGAUGUGAUCCUUUGUGUUAUAACCGACAAUGUUUUCAAUACCUCACCAAAUUUAUAUGUAUAUGUAUAUAUAUAUAUUCUAAUACUUCAAACUCCAAUAAUUGUUACAACCUUAAUUCAGUCAGUUUCUCAAUUAUACCCCUUGAAACCGUCUGAGGUUGUAUUUUACUUAAACAAGAAUUUCUACUAAGUUUUAAGUUAUUAAAUCUCAUGUUAAAGGUAAUAAUCCAUUCGAUGUUGUAUUUUUAAAUUAAAAGGGGUACUUUCUUUACUCAAAUGAUUUCAAAAGAAACAACUUCAUCAUUUCUCGCUGGCUUUCCCAAUUAGUUUAGAAAUUGUAAUUUUACUUAUAUGAGGUAAAUGAGACUUCUAGAAUAUAUUGAGUGCAUUGUGCGAACAUUAUGUAUUGUAUAGCGUGUGGAUUCUGUUGUCAAAAGUGAGAUGGAAAAUAUGGGGGCACAAGGUUCCAUGCGUGUGGAAGGUUCGGGAGUUAAGAUUAUGAUGUGAGAAACCAAGGAUUGAGAUGGUCGGGAUUGAGUAUUAGACACGAUACGAUUUAUUGAUGUGAUUGAUUGAGUGGGCAAUUCCUUUUUAAUUGAAUACAUUCUUACUUGUCUCUAUUCCUGUUAUAUCAGUGUUGAUUUACUUGGUUAUUUGAUUUACUUGGGUAUCGUUCGUUACUACCCGUGUUCUCCCUUUACUGUUCAUACUGUUUGUAUUUUGAUUUCUUUUCGCUAUUGAUAUUACCUCGUUAACUCUAUCUCGAUCUUUUAUUAUCAUAUCCUGUUCAUUUCAUUUGACCAGUAGGUGUCUUGAUUGUUCCUUGUCACUACCCCACCGAGGUUAGUCUUGAUACUUACUAGGCAUUGUUGUGGUGUGCUCAUACUACACUUCUGUACAUUUUUUUGUGUAUAGAUCCAGGCAUUGAUCGAUAGUAGUUGUACGGGUAGUCGCAGUAGAGACUCAUGGUAACCUGUUGUUGCGUUUGCAGGCCUCGAAGUCACCUUCGUUUGUAUUUACAUUCCAUUGAUUCCUUCUCGUUCUGGAACAAUGUUGUAUUUAUUUUGUAUAACUACUCUUAGAAAGGUUUAUGAUUUGUACCACCGGUUUUGGGAAUUGUGAUUUAUUGAGAGUUAUUUAAUUUGAAGUAAGUAAAUGUUAAUGUUAUUUCUAUAAAUGUUAGGCUUACCUAGUUUAGAGACUAGGAGACAUCAUGAGUCCUUCGGAGAGAUUUUGGGUCGUGACAAGUUGGUAUCAGAGCUGUAGGUUUAUGGGUUCUACGAGUCAUAAGCAGGUUUAGUAGAGUCUUUCGGGUCGGUACGGAGACGUCUGUACUUAUCUUCAAGAGGCUACAGAACUGUUAGGAAAUUCCACUUCUUUCAUUCCCUAUCAUGCAAUAUUGAUUCAGCUCGAAGUAUAUGACUUAUGUCCCUCUACAUCCACUCCUGUAUAAUAUUAUGCUCUCAACAUUCGCUAUGCACCAGUGGUUCCUGAUGCUAUAGAUAGGCUACAAAUGAGUCAGGGAUUCUCGGGCAUUACCUCGACGUGUUGUCCAAACUGAAGAUAUAAAGGCAUUGAGAGACUAUUCAGUUGUUCGUAUGGAGGCGCAACGGUUUCCGACACCUGAUUGAUGAGUGCGAGCUUGGGAAGGUUUAAUUGGUCGGCUACUCAUCGUGAUUGUGGCAAGGCCACGAAGUGGGUGUUGAUUGGGAAUAGUUGGUGGUAUUGGAGUACCUUUUGAUUUGUGUUGUACGAGCUUUGAAGGUUAGUUUUGCGGAUCAUCAAACAUUGUUUUCUAUGGCUUUGCGCCAAGUGGAGGAGUUCAAUAGCGACAUUCAGAUUGCAGAGUCAAAUUUGUAUCAAUCUUAGCAUGAGGUAUGUAAAUUUGUGGUAUUGGUAGAUUCCCGAAUUUGGGGUAUGACCAGGGUCUGAGAUCUCGUACAAGAUGAUGUUGGGGCUUAUAGUAUUUCUACGCCAAUAAUGGAGCUACAUAUCAGCAUCAAGGGGAUUUGGAGGAAUAACUUCAAAUUCAUAGGAUGUCUAUUCAGCAUGGGUAUCGUGGUUGCGGCAGAACGGGGUGCUUCAGAUGUAAUGCGGUGGUUUAUGAGUUUCUUGCUACGUGGUUCAUGCUAGAGUCAUCUGCAUGUGGGGCUUUGAUGGGAGUUAUUGUAUAUCGACUAUCCAAAGAAAUGAGUCAGUUUAGUAGUGUUGGGUUAGCAUAGCCAUGGAGGUAAAUGGUCCUUUGAAAUGGGAAUUUUCUACUGGCAUUUGUGGCAGCACUCUUGGAUUAGGCAGUUUAUGAGACUCGGUUGAGUUGGGGAGGUGCAGUUCUGAUGGUCUGGUUGCGUGCGGGCGGAUCUUGGAGGGUUCCCGAUGGUUUGACUAUGGCUUGAGUUAGGUGUCUACUAUGGGCAUCAGGAAUAUAGGGUACAUUGCGGUUUCUCCCGAAUCGGUAUAUGAAAUUAAUAGAGCGUUGGCAUUGUUGGCUAUCAUAUGUGAAGAAUGUGCAUUUUUGGAAAGGACCUUGAGUUUUAGUUUGCAGUGCGUGGCUAGUAGCAGGGUGAUUACUAGGUUUUAAGGCUUUCGAGGUUCAUAUUUUGUUACGCGGUCAGAAACUCUAUAUGAGUGCUUCAGUAGAAUGAUAGGGUGUAAGUUAUAUAUAAGCCAUUUGAUUGCAUAGUGGAGUUAGAGUAUGAAAAUUUUGGUAUUCCUGAGGUUUUGGGUCUAGAUGCCCUCAUAAGCGAAUUAUUUCCUGUUUGCGGAUGGUGGAGGACCAUUGAGGAUGAGAUAGUUAAUAGCAUGCAUGAUUGAUAGGUCACUGUGGAUUUUUGGAAAGGAUAUUUACCUAUUUGGAGGUAAUUAGGAUUUGGUUGUGGGGUAUUUGGGGGAUCAACGGGAAUAUGUAUGUCGUGUCAGAGCAAAUUUGUGUGCCUCUAUGAGAUUGUCAUGUGAUCAGGUAGGAGGGAUAUUACAUGUGCCCCUAGCCUAUGAUAUGUGCUACUCUUUUAUGCUAUGUUAGGCGGUGAGGUUGUAUAGUUAUUUCCCCCGCAGGUAGUAAUUCUAUUCAGGCCUUAUGGCAAUGCGGGUGAGAUAGCCCUCGUGAUGUCAAUUUGCUUAUUGCACCUUAAUCGUGCUAGCUUCUUUCAUGUGUUAAUACUUUCAUUUAUUUUCCACAGUUUUAUUUGUGCACCUUGUUGUACUUGAUAUCAGUAUUCAUAUGUUUAGUGAGCUCGAGCAUUUUGGUUUGAUGAGCAUUUGGGAGCGGGCUACAUGCCGCAGCGGAUGUUAUGUGGGAUACCCUUUCCUUGUGUUCAUUGGGUGUUGUGUUUUCACUGUAUGGGACGAUUUGAAGAAGAACUACACUUUUGUUAUUACACAUGUUGUUCUCGUUAGAUAAUUCUUAUACCCUACUUUUCUUUGCUUGUGCUACAUAAUUGAGUUAUUGUUGGUUUGGUGUACGAACUGUGUAAUAUGAGAAUCCGUGUGGUUCCGUGAUGAGCUGUCAAUUGUGCUAUUUGUAUUCGCUGAGAUGAGGUUCUUAGACCUGAUAUUAGUACUAUGGCAUCGGGGAUGAGGAGUGUUUGGAAGUAUGGGGGUGUUUCUGCUAAGAUUUGGGUUAUGGCCCUUGGCGGGCGAGAGAGCUUCUUGACUUGUUGUCUUCAAGGGCGGCUAUGAGUUCCCACAUGUUUCUUUAUCAUGAGCAGUGAUAUGGAGGUCCGAAACAAGGUUGUAUUCAAUGUGAAGUAUAUUGUCGGCAUCCAGGAUGUUAUUUGAGCAUCUAUGGUGGUAAGAUGUUAUUGCUUCGGGCAUUUGAGUUAUGUGAAGUAGCAUAUGAUUGUAUUCUGGAUUGGAAUUUGGUUUAUUCAGCUUGUUAAGGUUCAUGCAGUGUGAUGACGUAGAAUUCGGAUCCGAUGAUGACUUUCAGAUGUUGAGGUUUAGGUUCUGUUCUAAUGUUAUGGGCUAAGGAGGAGAUGAGAUCUUCAGUUAAGUUGCAUUGUCAGUUCUGCUUAGGUCGGGUGAUGGGGAAUCACCCCUGGGUGUAUGUAUGGUGAGCUCAUGCAGUGGUUCGAUGGCUUUGGAACGACUCCGGGCAAGUUCGAGGACGAACGUAUGUUUAAAUGGAGGAGGAUGUAACGACCCGACUUGUCAUUUUGAGCAAUUGCGCCCGAUUCGGCAGUUUGAGGCCUCGAGCAGCUUCACAUUAUGUAUAUCGACUUGUAUGCAUAGUUGGAUUCAGUCACCAGAUGAAUCAGAGUUGCACUGGAAGAAGGAACCUAGUUUUGGAAGUUUAAAUAGUGAAAAUUUGACCGGAAUUGGACUUUUGAGUAAACGUCCUCGGAACGGGUCGUGGGUGAUCUCAACAGCUUCGUAUGAUGAUUUUGGAAUUAGGCGCGCAUCCGUAUUCGGAUUUGGAGGUUCGUAGGGUAAUUUGAGGUGUUUCGGCAAAAGUUUGGAAAAUGAAGAAGUUUGACCCAUAGUUGACUUUUGUGAUAUUGGGGUCGGAAUGCGAUUUCGAGAGUUGGAACAGUUUCGUUAUGUAUGUUGGACUUUUCUGCAAAAUUUGGCGUCAUUCCGGGUUGAAUUGAUAGGUUUCAGCAUGAGUUUUGGAAGUUAGAAGGUUGAAACGUUCCUAAGUUAGAUUCGUGGUGUGAUUCGUUGUUUCGGUGUUUUUUUGAUGUGAUUUGUGACCUCGACUGAGUCGGUGUUAGGUUAUAUGACUUGUUUGUGUGUUUUAAUGGGGUACCGGGGGCCUCAGGUGGGCUACGGGUCAAUUCCCUUUAUUUUUGAACUAUUGUUUUCUGCUUCUGGUAUCCUCUUUCGCAAUCGUGAACCACCUUCCGCGUUUGCGAAGCUUUGUUGCUGACCACCUGGAAAUCCUUCUCCGCGUUCGCGUUUAGAGCUUCGCGUUCGCGAAGCUCUGCUUUAUCCCUCAUCGCGUUCGCGUCCCCCCUCACACGUUCGCGUAGUUAUGUUGUUCCACUCUUCACGUUCGCGUACUAGUUCACGCGUUCGCGUAGAGAAAUCUCUGGGCCAUAAUAUUUUCCUUCUUCGCAUUCGCAUGCGUGCUGUCGCGUUCGCAAAGCACAAUUGGGCAGCAUUCAUUUUCUUCUACGCGAACGAGAUACUUCCUCCGCGUACGCGGUGCUUUAAGACCUGGGCAGAAUAAAUAGUACUCUAUUCCGAGGGUUUGGCAUUUUCACCAUUUUUGGAGUUCUAGAGCUCAGUUUUGGGCGAUUCUUUGUGGGUUUUUGCAAGCAAAACGAUUGGGUAAGUGUUCUUCACCUAGAAUUGAUUAUAUUCCAUGAAUUUGUCUUCAUUUUUAUCAUUUAAUUUGUGUUUUGGGUUGAGUAAAAUGUUAGUUUUUUGAAGAAAAUUCCUAAAAUGAAAAAUCGUGAUUUGAGGGGCCAAAUGGUAUCGGAAUUUAAUAAAUUUUGUAUGGUUGCACUCAUAUUGGAAUGGGUAUUUGGAUUUUGUAAAAUUUGUCGGGUUCCGAGGCGCAGGCCUGGGGAUCGACUUUUGGACCAAAUUUUGGAUAUUGUUAAAUAUUGAGACUUUAUGAUCCGGUAUAGUUUCUUAUGUGUUUUAUUUGAGCUUUAAAGUUAAUUUGGAUAGAUUUAGCCAUCCAGAGGUCUUUUCACUCGAGAAGUGCAUUUUAGAGUAUCGGUUUGUCGACUUUGAGGUAAGUAUCUUGCCUAACCUUGUGUGGGGGACUUCCCCUUAGGAUUUGAGUCUUCCAUGCUAAUUGUAGUCCGUGCAUGCGAGGUGACGAGUGCGUGCUCGAACUUAUUUGUGGGCAAUUUGCUCUAGGGUUCUUAGGUCCUUAUGUUCAUUAUGUGCAAAGUACUCCAUUACAUUUGAGUUUCCUACUUGCUUAAAUUACCUCUAUAUGCUCCAUAUGAUGUUGCUAGCUUUCCUCUAAUUCCUAUGUGUUACAUUAACCCUCAUUUGCCUUACUUGAAGUAACUGCCUUCCUUAUUGUUUUGAUACUUCUUGAUUAUGAGUUCCUCUAUGACUUCGUGCAAAUAGGUUACAUGUCCAAUUGUUGUGGAUACCGGUGUAGUUAUCACGUUCUUAUUAUAUCUUGUUGUUUUGUUGAGGUUUCAUUGUGAAAUUAAUUGUUGGUAUGAGUUUGGUUAUAGUUGAUUCCCUUGCCGAGACAUAUUUAAUUCUUACUGUUGGUUUCCUUGCCGGGAUGUGUUUAUUCUAGUUGUUCACUCCCUUGUCGGGAUAUGGUUGUUUCCUUAUUAUUCCCUUGCCGGAAUUCUUUUGUGAUUGGUGGUGAUUUGUAUAUUUGGGUCGGGUUGCACGCCGCAACAUCAUUAUAUGAUUUGGAUCGGGUUGCACACUGCAACAUCAUUAUAUUUGGAUCGGGUUGCACGCCGCAACAAUAUUACAUGANNNNNNNNNNNNNNNNNNNNNNNNNUUUGGAUCGGGUUGCACGCCGCAACAUCAUUAUAUGAUUUGGAUCGGAUUUCACGCCGUAACAUCAUUAUAUGAUUUGGAUCAGGUUGCACGCUGCAACAUCAUUAUAUUUGGAUCGGGUUGCACGCCACAACAAUAUUACAUGAUUUGGAUCGGGUUGCACGCCGCAACAAUAUUAUAUAAUUUGGAUCGGAUUACACGCCACAACAAUAUUAUAUUAUUUGGAUCGGGUUGCACGUUGCAGCAGUACUAUAUGAUUGGGAUCAGGUUGCACACCGCAACAAGAAAGAAUAAAAGUGAAUAUUGACUCAUAUGGUGAGAACGAGAGAGUAAAAGCACGAAGGGUGAUGCCUUGCACUUUUUGCUGCUGUGUUUAUUUGUUGUUAUCAAUUCAAGUGUUUAAACUAUUUAAAUUCCUUUAAUAUUGUGAUCCUUUAUGUUAGAACCGACAAUGUUUUCAAUUUCUCAUCGUUUUAUGUAUAUAUAUAUAUAUAUUAUAAUACUUUAAACUCCAAUAGUUGUUACAGCCUUAAUUCUAUUAGUUUCUCAAUUAUACCCCUUUAAACCGUCUGAGGUUGUAUUUUACUUAAACAGGAAUUUCUUCUAAGUUUUAAGUUAUUAAAUCUCAUGUUAAAGGUAAUAAUCCAUUUGAUGUUGUAUUUUUAAAUUAAAAGGGGUACUUUCCUUACUCAAAUGAUUUCAAAAGAAACAACUUCAUCUUUUCUCGUUGGCUUUCUCAAUUAGUUUAGAAAUUGUAAUUUUACUUAUAUUAGGUAAAUGGGACUUCUAGAACAUAUUGAGUGCGUUGUACGGACAUUAUGUAUUGUAUAACGUGUGGAUUCUGUUGUCAAAACUGAGAUGGAAAAUAUGGGGGCACAAGGUGCCAUGCGUGUGGAAGGUUCGGGAGUUAAGAUUAUGAUGUGAGAAACCGAGGAUUGAGAUGGUCGGGAUUGAGUAUUAGACAUGAUGUGAUUGAUUGAGUGGAUAAUUACUUCUUUAAUACAUUCUUACUUGUCUCUGUUCCUGUUAUGUUAGUGUUGAUUUACUUGGUUAUCUUAUUUACUUGGGUAUCGUUCGUUACUACCCGUGUUCUCCCUUUACUGUUCGUACUGUUUGUAUUUUGAUUUCUUUCCACUGUUGAUAUUACCUCGUUAUCUCUAUCUCGAUGUUUUAUUAUCAUAUCCUGUUCAUUUCAUUUGAUCAGUUGGUGUCUUGACUGUUCUUCGUAACUACCCCACCGAGGUUAGUCUUGAUACUUAUUGGGCACCGCCAUAGUGUGCUCAUACUACACUUCUGUACAAUUUUUUGUGUACAGAUCCAGGCAUUGAUCUAUAGUAGCUAUGUGGGUUGUCGUGGUGGAGACUCACGGUAACCUGUUGUUGCGUUCGCAGGCCUCAGAGUCACCUUCGUUUAUAUUUAAGUUCCAUUAAUUCCUUCUCAUUCUGGAACAGUAUUGUAUUUAUUUUGUAUAACUACUCUUAGAAAGACUUAUGAUUUGUACCACCGAUUUUGGGUAUUGUGAUUUAUUGAAAGUUAUUUAAUUUGAAUUCAGUAAAUAUUAAUGUUAUUUCUAUAAAUGUUAGGCUUACCUAGAUUAGAGACUAGAUGCCGUCACCACUCAUUCGAAAAGAUUUUGGGUCAUGACAAAGAACAAGCAGAACAAUGAGCUUUAUAUUAAUUUCUUUUUUUUUGGUUUUAGGUGUUAGAAUAUUUUUAGGAAAAUUCUCCUACACUUUAAUCAUAGAUUAUCCUUUUUCUUCUUGACCAAAAAAAGAAAAAUAAUAAGUUCCCUUUUAUUUAUGACUUAUGUCCUCUUUUGUGAACGCGUUCUAAUUAGUAAUCUCACUUUUAUCUAUCUCUUUUGUAUUUGUGUAGAGUGAUUGGUCCUGCAAUGCCCUUUGCAAAAUUAAUUGUUGCAGCAACUAAAUUGAUAGAAGCACAAGCCGAGUUGAGGUGUUUCUAAAAAUUUUAAACUCCCCUCAAUUUGUUAGCCAACUUCUAAAACUUUAUCUUCUUGGUAUAUGCAUAUUUUUGGUUGGUUUAAUUUUUGGCCAAUAGAUCUAUGGCAUGAGCUUUGGUAUAUGCAUAUUUGUAUUGCUCUCACUUUUUACAAUUCUUGUAGUGGUUUUGUUGUCUUUUACCUAGCGGGGUCAACUUGUGCAAAAAUAUUCGUCUUGAGACUGCAACAAGUGUUUAUUUGGAAGUUUCACUACUAGAAAAUUAUUUUAUUGGAACGGUUAUUUUGCAACGGUUUUGUAACUGUUACAAUAGGUCAUAUAUUGGAAUGACAUGUAAUUCAUAUUACUUGGUCUAUCUGCUAAACUGGCAAGGGAGAAACUCAUCUCAAGGUAACUAGCUAAUAUUGAAGGAAACAAAGGAGUGCAACAAAUAGAAAGUUGUAAAGAAAAUAACUUUGGGGGUUAUUUAUAUGGAAAGGAAACUAAAAGUGACCUGGCACGUCAUGUCUUUUUCUGUAGCUUCUUUAGGUCUUCCAUGGUUUUAAUCUUACCACUUCCUUCUUUUAGGUGUCUUGUUCCUUAGUUCAGAUGGAUAUGUCAAAAGAAUGUCACGAUUGCAUAUGUAUUGUCUUUUCUGUUUUCUUUUGCGAGAUCAUAGAUCUUAAAUUCUGGAUACUUACCAGUCCACUCCAUUCUUUGAUGCAUUCUUUCUUCAUAGAUCUUAAAUUCUGGAUACUUAGCUCGUGGUUGCUGCCUUUUCCCUUCUUUUUCUACUUCACUGCUACUAUUUUUUUGCGUCUUUCACUUGCUUGUUGUUGUUGUUGCUGUUUUUCCUUCUUUUACUGCUUUUUCUUUAUCGAAAAAGUUAUGGAUGCUUAGCUCGUUACUACUGUUUUUCCUUCUUUUUCUACUUCACUGCUGCUAUGUUUUGCGUCUUUCACUAGCUUGUUGUUUCCAUUUUUCCUUCUGUAUCCCAAUUACGGCUUAGGUACUCCGUCAUAUUUCUUAUUACAGGAAAGUGUUUAAGACGUUAGAAUAUCAUGUUCUAUAUAGUACCAUAAAUAUUAAACAAAUAUCGACAUCAUUAAGUGAUAACAAAUUUGCUUGGAAUGAAAAUAUUUCCUGACCAAUGGUACUCUGCAAGUUCAAUAUAGUUGCUGAAUCAACUCCAAUUCUAAAUGAUCAAAGGAAACUUCACUUCUUAUGACUGUGGAUUGUUAUGUAGUGAUGGAUAAAGGUUGCGGGGAUACUUUUAUUAACGUCCAUUUUAUGUCUCAGAGCAGUUGUUAUAGAGUCCUCGUUUCUUCUUUAACUAUUUUUUCUUUAUCGUCAUUAUUGCGUAUACUUCGCUUGUUGCUGCUCUUUUUUCAUGUUCUCAUGUUCCACUUGUAAGCUUGUUGCUGUUGUUUUUUAAAGUUCUACGUAAUGCUGUUUUGACCAUGUGUCAUUUUUACUAAGGAAACUCUGCCGAGAAUUCUAGGAAUUUAGAGAGUUAGAAAAUUUUCAAGCUAUCAAAUUGUCAUUCAAUAAUCUUUAAAAAAUUUAUUUAAUUAUUUUUUAUUAUCUUUUGUAGGUGCAACGAUUGCGGAUAAAAGCAGUGACGAAGACCUUACUUGAAUAUUGUUGAUCAUUGCUAGAGUUUCUAUUAUCAUGUUCAAGGAUAUUUUAGUUUAGAACUCAUUGUAUGCAAACUCAUCUAUUUUGACUUUUGAAUUGUUGAUCAAAUAAUGUAUUCAUAUUUUGCUUUUGUAUAUGGCUAAAGCUAA
Molecule: long non-coding RNA, 14397 nt
Filed under: Nicotiana tabacum (common tobacco)
Lineage: Eukaryota; Viridiplantae; Streptophyta; Magnoliopsida; Solanales; Solanaceae
Description: long non-coding RNA (NTAB_LNC001752)
Source: RNAcentral